UUUUGGUUGUAAUAUAUAAUACAAAAACAUUAAAAGCUAUGAUCUCUAAAUUUAAAGGAUCUGGCGGUAGUUUAGUCCAGUUAGAGGAACCUGUUUCUUAAUCGAUACACCACGCAAAAUCUUACCUAUUUUCAGCUUGUAUACCGUCAUUAUUAGAUGACUUUAAAAAAAUAAAGUUAUUACAAUAAACCUAUGGUUUAAUAAAUUAGAUCAAGGCGCAGCGCAUAAUUAGGUGUAUAAUGGGUUACAAUAGAAUUAAUCUAUACGAAUUCAAAGUUUAAAUAUUUCAAUGAAGGAGGAUUUAAUAGUAAAACCAGUUUAAUAAGCUAGUUUGAUAAAGGAUCUAAACUGUGUACAAAUCGCCCGUCAUUUUCAUUACCAAAUGAAACAAGUCGUAACAUAG
This 403-nucleotide ribosomal RNA is filed under the name Callianassa subterranea. RNAcentral's name for it is "partial 12S ribosomal RNA". The record is from RNAcentral. Lineage: Eukaryota; Metazoa; Arthropoda; Malacostraca; Decapoda; Callianassidae.